AUUGAACGCUGGCGGCAGGCUUAACACAUGCAAGUCGAGCGGGGAAAGGUAGCUUGCUACUUUACCUAGCGGCGGACGGGUGAGUAAUGCUUAGGAAUCUGCCUAUUAGUGGGGGACAACAUCUCGAAAGGGAUGCUAAUACCGCAUACGUCCUACGGGAGAAAGCAGGGGACCUUCGGGCCUUGCGCUAAUAGAUGAGCCUAAGUCGGAUUAGCUAGUUGGUGGGGUAAAGGCCUACCAAGGCGACGAUCUGUAGCGGGUCUGAGAGGAUGAGCCGCCACGCUGGGACUGAGACACGGCCCAGACUCCUACGGGAGGCAGCAGUGGGGAAUAUUGGACAAUGGGGGGAACCCUGAUCCAGCCAUGCCGCGUGUGUGAAGAAGGCCUUUUGGUUGUAAAGCACUUUAAGCGAGGAGGAGGCUACCGAGAUUAAUACUCUUGGAUAGUGGACGUUACUCGCAGAAUAAGCACCGGCUAACUCUGUGCCAGCCGCCGCAGUAA
This 501-nucleotide ribosomal RNA is filed under the name uncultured bacterium. Its description in RNAcentral is "partial 16S ribosomal RNA". It matches the Rfam family "Bacterial small subunit ribosomal RNA", at positions 30 to 523 of the family's 1533-position model. The record is from RNAcentral.